UGAAUUCUAUGGUUAGUAUUCUUUAAGAGAUUGUCUCAUCUAAAACUAAUUUUAGAAGCUCUCUUAAUUAUGUGCUAUUUUUAUGCUUUGAUAUUAAAGCACUAAAGGGCAAGGCUAGAAGAAAACUUUUAGUUCUGUAGGAGUGGUGCCAGUUGGCUACAAUCUGUUUUACAAAAAAAUAGAGGAAUGCUGACAAAUCAACUUUUCAUUAAUUUUGUGCUCUUCAUCGUGAUGACUGUGUAAAACAAUAUUCAACUAUUCAAGAAUAUUAGCUGGAAUUUAGUUGAAAAUGGAGUGCCAUAGUGCUGAAAAUAUUUCUGAGGAAGUAAACAAAUGUAUUACUUUGUUAAAAAUGGUCAAUGGAGAUUCUGAAAAAUUUGCAGCUUUAUUUAUGGUUACAAAAUUAGUAAAUGCAAAAAAUUGUUCAUCAGCUGCCAAAAAAUUACUUUUUGAAGCAAUUGGUGCAAAGUUUAUCAGAAAGUUAUUAAUCAGCAAUAAUGUGCCUGUUGAUUGUCCAGCAGAAGUAUAUAAAUCUGUAGCCUUAUCUAUUCUUUCUGCAUUUUGUAGAGAUUCAGUAUUGGCUUCUCAUCCUGAUAUGAUUGGACAUACCCCUGCACUUUUAGAAAUAGUUGAAAACGCAGAUGAAGAUGCCCCUGACGAUACAUUAAUAAUUGUAAGUGAAGCAUACAGUUGUCUACAAAAUAUUGCUAAGUUUUAUCCUGGACAAAAAGUAUUAAUUGAACAAAAAGCUAUUCCAAAAAUGUGUGAAAUAUAUGCAGAGAAGAGUUUCAAGACAGAUGAAGCUCUAAACAUCUUAGUAACUCUAGUUAAUGAGUUUGGACCUAAAGUUUGGGAUGCAAAUAAUACAGUGCCAUUUCAUGCAAUUAUUAAUAAGAUUGCUUUAGAUUUUGAAACUGAUUAUGAUGAAAGAAAAUUUAAACUUUGCUCUAUAUUGCAGGCUCUGCUUGCUUCUUGUAGACAAGAUACCAUUACUGAAAGUGCUAAAAAUGAAUCUUGGCCUCAAAGCAUAUAUAAAGGAUUAAAUGAUAUCCUUACAUCAAAAAUUGGAAAGGUUCAAAGAGAUCCAGCAUUAAAACUUUCAUCUAUAAUGUUGGAGUUAUUAGGUGUUGACUGGGCUUUAUCUGAUGAAGAAAAACCUAAAACCUUCUUUCUUUUGUUAAUUCAGCUAGCAUCGAUCGAAGUUAAAAUGCAGAUAGAAGGAAAACAAAUAAAGACUGUAAUAGUUUCUGCUGAUCUUAUUGUAGCAUGUUUUAUGAUUUUAGAAAUAUCUUUAUCUUAUAUUAUAACUGACCAAUUAGAUUUGGAACAAAAGGAAAAACAAUCUUUAUAUACAGCAUUAAAAGGAGCAUUUGCAGCUGUGCUUGGACUUCUUACAUCAUUAUCAAAAAUGAAGGAAUUAACAGACAUAAAAGAACGUAUAUUUGUCUGUGCUAUGGUAAGAGUUUUAGCUGCUUGGUUAACUCAAGAAACAUCUGCAUUGCGCUGUCAAGUUCAUGCUAUUCUACCCUUUGUUUUAACCAUUGCUAAUGAUACCUUUUAUAAACAUCGUAAUAAAAAAAUUGCCAAAAAAGCUAUAUCAAAAACAUCAGAAAUAAUUUCUGAAGAAUCUGAAAAAUGUGAUCCAUUAAGUGAUAUUGAUGUGUUGAGAUUACUAUUACCAGCUUUGUGUCAUCUUGCUAUUGAAGAAGAUGCUAGAAAAAUAUUAUUAAAACAUAAACAAGAUGAAGUAUUAUUUGAAUGUUUGUCUUAUCAUUGGUCCAUUGUUCAUUAUAAAAAACCACCUGUACCAAAAGCUGAACGACUUAAAGCUCUUAAAGAACCUAUAAAAGAAUUAGAACCAUAUAUUUUAGAAGAAAUGAAGGAUUCGAGAAGUGCUAUGGUUUCAAUUUGUAAUAUUCUAAUGAAUAUAACCGUUUUGGAAGCAAAGUUAGUUGAAGAAUCCACAACAUUUAUUAAUUUGCUUAAAUUCAUCUUUGACAGUUUACCAGAACUUAAACAAAGAUCAGAAAACUUAGUUCUUCAUGGUAACUUAGCUAUUCUUGGACUUUUAUUAAUGAAACAACAAGCUAAACGUAUAAAGAAAAAUGAUUUUUCAAUAUGCCGUUACAUUCAAGCCACUAUUCGAUUUUUAUGGGAUGCUUACAUGGUGGAUGAAAGCAAUGAUCCAACAGCAUUAGUAGUAAAUAUAUUGUAUAAGGAACAUUGGAUGGAAAUUAUGGAAUUAUGGUUCUUAGGAAUGCAAACAAUGGCUGGUGUAUUGCAAAUGGUUCCUUGGCUCUCAGAAUUUGCAAUUGAAUCAGGUUGGACAGAAGGAAUCAUAGAUAGUUUAAAGAAAGUUAAGAUUGGAGGACUACAGCCGAAUGUUAAAUCAGCAUUUGAAGAUUUAUUAUGUCAUUUAGUUAAAGCUGAUACAAGUGUUGCAUCUGUAUUAAAGAAAGCAGGUGCUUUGACCGUUUGCAGAAAUCAUCGUAUGAUGGAACUUGGAAAACAUUUGUUUGAUCAUAUAGUUUGAGCGCGAAUCAAUAGUCUUUUAAGAGAUCUUCUUUAUACAUUUUAUAAUGUUUCUGAAGACCUCUUCUUGAGCCUCUUGCUUAUUUUAAUCACAGAGAACAGCAUCUUCAAGAAAAUCUUCACACGCUAAUUGUAAAGAAUUUUAAAUUAUCCAAUAAGUCUGUUGUUGGCACAACUGAUUUUGUUGUGAUUACAGCAGUGUCCAUGGAUGCCACUUCAAGAGUCCAAUUAGUCAGCUUGAGUAUUUGAAUGAAUCAAUGCAUUUUAUAGCUUGCAGAGGAACUUACUAAGGAGUAUGGAUUACCACAAGAUUGUUCCAACAAGAUCGUCUCAUCCUAUCUUAAGCAGUUC
Molecule: RNA transcript, 2883 nt
Organism: Ceratosolen solmsi marchali
Lineage: Eukaryota; Metazoa; Arthropoda; Insecta; Hymenoptera; Agaonidae
Gene: Neurochondrin
Gene name: neurochondrin
Exons: 3
Source: RefSeq, a predicted model, not a curated record